UACAGAGGUCUCAAGCGUUGUUCGGAUUUAUUGGGUUUAAAGGGUGCGUAGGCGGCCCUGUAAGUCAGUGCUGAAAUAUCCCGGCUUAACCGGGAGGGUGGCAUUGAUACUGCGGGGCUAGAGUACAGAUGAGGUAGGCGGAAUUGACGGUGUAGCGGUGAAAUGCUUAGAUAUCGUCAAGAACACCUAUAGCGAAGGCAGCUUACUAGGCUGUAACUGACGCUGAGGCACGAAAGUGUGGGGAUCAAACAGG
This 253-nucleotide ribosomal RNA is filed under the name uncultured bacterium. RNAcentral describes it as "partial 16S ribosomal RNA". It matches the Rfam family "Bacterial small subunit ribosomal RNA", at positions 524 to 776 of the family's 1533-position model. The record is from RNAcentral.